UAGUGGCAGACGGGUGAGUAAUGUAUAGGAAUCUACCUAAUAGUACGGAAUAAUUGUUGGAAACGGCAACUAAUACCGUAUACGCCCUACGGGGGAAAAAUUUAUUGCUAUUAGAUGAGCCUAUAUUAGAUUAGCUAGUUGGUGGAGUAAUAGCCUACCAAGGCAAUGAUCUAUAGCUGAUCUGAGAGGAUGAUCAGCCACACUGGAACUGAGAUACGGUCCAGACUCCUACGGGAGGCAGCAGUGGGGAAUAUUGGACAAUGGGCGAAAGCCUGAUCCAGCCAUGCCGCAUGAGUGAAGAAGGCCUUUGGGUUGUAAAGCUCUUUUAGUGAGGAAGAUAAUGACGGUACUCACAGAAGAAGUCCUGGCUAACUCCGUGCCAGCAGCCGCGGUAAUACGGAGAGGGCUAGCGUUAUUCGGAAUUAUUGGGCGUAAAGGGCGCGUAGGCUGGUUAAUAAGUUAAAAGUGAAAUCCCGAGGCUUAACCUUGGAAUUGCUUUUAAAACUAUUAAUCUAGAGAUUGAAAGAGGAUAGAGGAAUUCCUGAUGUAGAGGUAAAAUUCGUAAAUAUUAGGAGGAACACCAGUGGCGAAGGCGUCUAUCUGGUUCAAAUCUGACGCUGAAGCGCGAAGGCGUGGGGAGCAAACAGGAUUAGAUACCCUGGUAGUCCACGCUGUAAACGAUGAAUGUUAAAUAUGGGAAGUUUACUUUCUGUAUUACAGCUAACGCGUUAAACAUUCCGCCUGGGGACUACGGUCGCAAGAUUAAAACUCAAAGGAAUUGACGGGGACCCGCACAAGCGGUGGAGCAUGUGGUUUAAUUCGAUGCAACGCGAAAAACCUUACCACUUCUUG
Molecule: ribosomal RNA, 852 nt
Filed under: Wolbachia endosymbiont of Hishimonoides sellatiformis
Lineage: Bacteria; Pseudomonadati; Pseudomonadota; Alphaproteobacteria; Rickettsiales; Anaplasmataceae
Also listed under: 1 other name
Description: bacterial SSU rRNA
Rfam family: Bacterial small subunit ribosomal RNA
Source: RNAcentral